This 70-nucleotide transfer RNA is filed under the name marine eukaryotic metagenome. It matches the Rfam family "tRNA". Rfam says of the family: Transfer RNA (tRNA) molecules are approximately 80 nucleotides in length. Their secondary structure includes four short double-helical elements and three loops (D, anti-codon, and T loops). Further hydrogen bonds mediate the characteristic L-shaped molecular structure. tRNAs have two regions of fundamental functional importance: the anti-codon, which is responsible for specific mRNA codon recognition, and the 3' end, to which the tRNAs corresponding amino acid is attached (by aminoacyl-tRNA synthetases). tRNAs cope with the degeneracy of the genetic code in two manners: having more than one tRNA (with a specific anti-codon) for a particular amino acid; and 'wobble' base-pairing, i.e. permitting non-standard base-pairing at the 3rd anti-codon position. The record is from RNAcentral.
CCAGAUAGCUCAGUCGGUAGAGCAGGGGACUGAAAAUCCCCGUGUCGGUGGUUCGAUUCCACCUCUGGCC